UACGAAGGGGGGCUAGCGUUGCUCGGAAUCACUGGGCGUAAAGCGCACGUAGGCGGAUUGCUAAGUCAGGGGUGAAAUCCUGGAGCUCAACUCCAGAACUGCCUUUGAUACUGGCGACCUUGAGUCCGGGAGAGGUGAGUGGGAACUGCGAGUGUAGAGGUGAAAUUCGUAGAUAUUCGCAAGAACACCAGUGGCGAAGGCGGCUCACUGGCCCGGUACUGACGCUGAGGUGCGAAAGCGUGGGGAGCAAACAGGG
RNAcentral lists this ribosomal RNA (256 nucleotides) under uncultured bacterium. RNAcentral's name for it is "partial 16S ribosomal RNA". It matches the Rfam family "Bacterial small subunit ribosomal RNA", at positions 524 to 777 of the family's 1533-position model. The record is from RNAcentral.